RNAcentral lists this ribosomal RNA (405 nucleotides) under uncultured bacterium. RNAcentral describes it as "bacterial SSU rRNA". It matches the Rfam family "Bacterial small subunit ribosomal RNA", at positions 355 to 776 of the family's 1533-position model. The record is from RNAcentral.
UGGGGAAUAUUGCACAAUGGGCGAAAGCCUGAUGCAGCGACGCCGCGUGAGUGAAGAAGUAUUUCGGUAUGUAAAGCUCUAUCAGCAGGGAAGAAAAUGACGGUACCUGACUAAGAAGUCCCGGCUAACUACGUGCCAGCAGCCGCGGUAAUACGUAGGGGACAAGCGUUAUCCGGAUUUACUGGGUGUAAAGGGAGCGUAGGCGGUCAGACAAGCCAGAAGUGAAAACCCGGGGCUCAACUCCGAGGAUUGCUUUUGGAACUGCCUGACUGGAGUACUGGAGGGGUAAGCGGAAUUCCUGGUGUAGCGGUGAAAUGCGUAGAUAUCAGGAGGAACACCGGUGGCGAAGGCGGCUUACUGGACAGAAACUGACGCUGAGGCUCGAAAGCGUGGGGAGCAAACAGG